GAUGAACGCUAGCGGCAGGCUUAAUACAUGCAAGUCGAACGGUAAGUAUUUUAGCAAUAAGAUACGAGAGUGACGUACGGGUGCGUAACACGUAUGCAACCUACCUUGUACAGGAGGAUAGCUCGGGGAAACUCGAUUAACCUCCAUAAGAUCGUGGUGAGGCAUCUCACAGCGAUAAAAUCUUAGGAGGUACAAGAUGGGCAUGCGUCUGAUUAGAGUUUGGUGCGGGUAACGGCCCACCAAGACGAUGAUCAGUAGGGGACCUGAGAGGGU
This 273-nucleotide ribosomal RNA is filed under the name uncultured bacterium. RNAcentral's name for it is "partial 16S ribosomal RNA". It matches the Rfam family "Bacterial small subunit ribosomal RNA", at positions 28 to 301 of the family's 1533-position model. The record is from RNAcentral.